Molecule: small RNA, 131 nt
Filed under: Salmonella enterica subsp. enterica serovar Baguida
Lineage: Bacteria; Pseudomonadati; Pseudomonadota; Gammaproteobacteria; Enterobacterales; Enterobacteriaceae
Description: RtT sRNA
Rfam family: RtT RNA
About the family: This family represents a bacterial cis-regulatory element known as RtT RNA.
Source: RNAcentral
GUAUCUCUCUGUACGGGAAGGAUGAGAAGCCUCGACUAAGGUUCGAUUCGAGCGCAGCGAGAAAGCGUUGCCGUAGGCAACGACCCGAAGGGCGAAGCGCGCAGCGCUGAGUCAUCCUUCCCCCACCACCA